GACGAACGCUGGCGGCGUGCUUAACACAUGCAAGUCGAACGGAAAGGCCCUGCUUUUGUGUGGUGCUCGAGUGGCGAACGGGUGAGUAACACGUGAGUAACCUGCCCUUGACUUUGGGAUAACUUCAGGAAACUGGGGCUAAUACCGGAUAGGAGAUCCUGCUGCAUGGUGGGGGUUGGAAAGGUUCGUCGGUUGGGGAUGGACUCGCGGCUUAUCAGCUUGUUGGUGGGGUAGGGGCUUACCAAGGCUUUGACGGGUAGCCGGCCUGAGAGGGUGACCGGCCACAUUGGGACUGAGAUACGGCCCAGACUCCUACGGGAGGCAGCAGUGGGGAAUAUUGCACAAUGGGCGGAAGCCUGAUGCAGCAACGCCGCGUGCGGGAUGACGGCCUUCGGGUUGUAAACCGCUUUCGCCUGUGACGAAGCGUGAGUGACGGUAAUGGGUAAAGAAGCACCGGCUAACUACGUG
This 468-nucleotide ribosomal RNA is filed under the name uncultured bacterium. RNAcentral describes it as "partial 16S ribosomal RNA". It matches the Rfam family "Bacterial small subunit ribosomal RNA", at positions 28 to 507 of the family's 1533-position model. The record is from RNAcentral.